GAGGGGCGGAGCUGUUCCCUUGUUAGGAUAAGCUCAGAGAGUUUUCCCUGGUCUUCGCUUGCAUGCAGCUGAGGAUGAAGGGAAAAUCUUCAAGACCAAGAUAAUCACGAUGGUGUGAUCAUUCACCAGAGCCAGACAUCCUGGAAUGUGAAGUCAAGUGGGCCUUAGAAAGCAUCACUACGAACAAAGCUAGUGGAGGUGAUGGAAUUCCAGUUGAGCUAUUUCAAAUCCUGAAAGAUGAUGCUGUGAAAGUGCUGCACUCAAUAUGCCAGCAAAUUUGGAAAACUCAGCAGUGGCCACAGGACUGGAAAAGAUAUUCAUUACCACUAGAAGUGGGUCACAGAGAGUUGGACUGUGAAGAAAGCUGAGAGCCAAAGAACUGAUGCUUUUGAACUGUGGUGUUAGAGAAGACUCUUGAGAGUCCCUUGGACUGCAAGGAGAUCUAAUCAGUCCAUCCUAAAGGAGAUCAGUCCUGGGUGUUCAUUGGAAGGACUGAUGCUGAAGCUGAAACUCCAAUACUUUAGCCACCUCCCGUGAAG
Long non-coding RNA from Bos taurus (domestic cattle), 539 nucleotides. NCBI's taxonomy places the organism in Eukaryota, Metazoa, Chordata, Mammalia, Artiodactyla, Bovidae. The record is from Ensembl.